UAGGGAAUCUUCCGCAAUGGGCGAAAGCCUGACGGAGCAACGCCGCGUGAGUGAUGAAGGUCUUCGGAUCGUAAAACUCUGUUAUUAGGGAAGAACAAAUGUGUAAGUAACUAUGCACGUCUUGACGGUACCUAAUCAGAAAGCCACGGCUAACUACGUGCCAGCAGCCGCGGUAAUACGUAGGUGGCAAGCGUUAUCCGGAAUUAUUGGGCGUAAAGCGCGCGUAGGCGGUUUUUUAAGUCUGAUGUGAAAGCCCACGGCUCAACCGUGGGGAGUCAUUGGAAGCUGGAAAACUUGAGUGCAGAAGAGGAAAGUGGAAUUCCAUGUGUAGCGGUGAAAUGCGCAGAGAUAUGGAGGAACACCAGUGGCGAAGGCGACUUUCUGGUCUGUAACUGACGCUGAUGUGCGAAAGCGGGGGGAUCAAACAGG
RNAcentral lists this ribosomal RNA (429 nucleotides) under Actinomycetes bacterium. RNAcentral describes it as "Actinobacteria bacterium partial 16S ribosomal RNA". It matches the Rfam family "Bacterial small subunit ribosomal RNA", at positions 355 to 776 of the family's 1533-position model. The record is from RNAcentral. Lineage: Bacteria; Bacillati; Actinomycetota; Actinomycetes.